Molecule: long non-coding RNA, 2100 nt
Organism: Aethalodelphis obliquidens (Pacific white-sided dolphin)
Lineage: Eukaryota; Metazoa; Chordata; Mammalia; Artiodactyla; Delphinidae
Exons: 3
Source: RefSeq, a predicted model, not a curated record
CCAAGUUUUGACUCGGGGCUCCCCUUACGUCCAAAAUGGAGAGAAUUCACGGACGCACGUGAGCUUGGAUGUCCUAGUUUGAAUGUUAGGGGUUUGCCAAGACAAUCUGCACUGGAUUGACCUAAAACGAACUUCCUUUUCCAGGGGAUUGAGCCACGCCACCCGAUAGAAUGAAAUCAUGACUUUUGCAGCAACGUGGAUGGACCUAGAGAUUAUCAUACUAAGCGAAAUUCAGCCGGAUGACGUGGCGUGGUCUCUGAUGUCCAGGAGGGAGAAUAACCAGCGUUGGCCUCCUCAAGCUGCAGAGGAAGCUGUGUGAGGGCAUCUUUCCUCUGGGGGCUUUGGAUUCUCUUGCCUCCUACCUGGGAGGCAGAGAACGGGCUGAAGGACAAAAAAGAACAUUAACAGGCAAACUCGCAUCGGGUCUCAAGUCAUCCACAGUCUCACAACUAUGACAAAUGCACAACCUUUGGUUGAAAAGGCUCAGGAAGUUGGUUGGCCAGACGAUCCAUUUGGUUGAGAAAAAGAAGCUGAGUUUGAUUGACCUGACCAGUUCGGAAAAUGCACCAUUUCUGGUUUCUCCAGUUGCACUUACUAGCAGGGAUUGCUUUGAUUUGCAUCAUAUAAGAAAAAAGAAGCUCAAUAAAAUGUAUUUGGUUCUGUGUCACUACAUGAGCCGUUAACAAAUUAGCACAGGGGAAGCUUUUGCAAAUGAGAUUAAAUUUCCUUGUUUAUGUUGGAAAUCUCCCUCAGUCUCUGUCAGCAAAUGUGCAAUAACAUUCUUUCCGUGUUGGGCUGGCUUUCAGUUGGUUUGUUAUUUUUGUUUCUUUUGUUCUUUCUAUGGGCCUUCAGAGUGACCGUCUCUCUCAGGGAAGAUAGAAACUCUUGCCUGGGGUUAAGGGAGACUUCCUGGGGCAGGGGUGGGAGUGGCGUGGAGGGAGGGUUGCCAGACAGAAUACAGGAUGCCCAGUCAGGUUGGAAUUUCAGGUAAACAAUGAGUUUUAAAAAAUAGUAUAAGUAUGUCCCAAAUAUUGCAUGGGACAUACUUAUACUAAAAGACAUUCCUUGUGUAUCUGACAUGCACAUUGGAUUGGGCGUCCUGUAUUUUUAUUUGUUAAAUUGGGGCAGCUGCAGUCUCCUUUGAUGUGGGGAGGAAGUUUCUAUGCCUGAGACAUCCCAGGGCUGUAGGAAAAGGCUGCUUUCCCCACCCUCUUCCUCUUUGGCUGGGCCUGACUAGAUUUUAACCUGCACCUGAGACUCGGUUUCCCUUAGGGUUGGGACCGGGGUGAGGAGAACGAAGCACUUGCCUUGGGCACAAACCCAGGAAUUGAGAUAAAGAAUUAGUGCAUUAUGGAAAAAAAAAUUAAAAAAGAAAUGAUCCUGUAUUAAAAUGUUUCAUAUUUUAACAUCAUAAAUAUUAUGAUUUUUGUCAUAAAUAUUUUGGUUACAAUAUUUUAUUAAAAUGUUCUUUAUCUUAAUUACUGAGGUUUUGUUCUUGUUUUUGUUGCACCCUUUUAAGUUUUGCUCCAGAAGUGGUGGGGUGGCAGGAGUGUUAAAUGCAAGCUUGUGGUCCUACAAAGAGCAACGCCAGAAUUCUUCAUUGAGAAUUAAAAUAUGAGUUUUUCUACUUUAUUUGACCUCUGUUUACAUACACAUUUGGAGAUGCCUGUAGUCUUCCCUUAUCCGUUUUAACAUGAUGGUUACUUUGAACUUGAGUGAAAUUUCUCACUUCCAUUGCCCCAACCUUUGUCUAGGAAGAUACUUUUUUGGUCCCAAUUUUCUUCUUUCAAAGCAAUGGAGAUUCUGGUCUCUUUUACUGUUUUAGACGUGAGGAUAACAUCUGAGGAUAAGACUCUGGCUUUGCCCAGUGGUAGAAUCUUCCAGAAGAAGUUUGGAGAGCCUGUUGGGCUUGGAUGCAUGAGAGCGGGACUGGUCACUACUGACUUAAUGAUUAUUUAAUAUCAUCUCAUUGAAUAUUUAAAGUGACAUUUGUGUGUUACUGUUCAAGAAAUGUUCCAACAUUAUAUUUAGUUGAUUGUUGUAUAUGUAUGAAAUAAAUGCUGUCUAGCAAUGCAAAUAAUUGGCAUCCUCGUUUUGUUG